Alosa sapidissima (American shad) is the source of this 102-nucleotide long non-coding RNA. RefSeq lists it as uncharacterized. Lineage: Eukaryota; Metazoa; Chordata; Actinopteri; Clupeiformes; Clupeidae. The transcript has 5 exons. The record is from RefSeq and is a predicted model, not a curated record.
CCUCCCCAAGAUCAUAUGAGCUCACUUCCUACAGGUACUAUCGUUAGUGCUGCCGCGAUUAGUCGACAUAGUCGACCUAAUCGACCAUGAAAAUUAGUCGAC